This 266-nucleotide long non-coding RNA is filed under the name Panax ginseng (ginseng). RNAcentral describes it as "long non-coding RNA (PGIN_LNC016042)". Lineage: Eukaryota; Viridiplantae; Streptophyta; Magnoliopsida; Apiales; Araliaceae. The record is from RNAcentral.
GGUGAAUUAUUUCCUAGAGAAUCCUAUGAGCAAUAAUUUAGUUGGUUGAUUGAGUGGUGACUCUAUAUCUCUUGCAAUAAUCAACCCUCAAUCAACUGCAAUCAAUUUUAUAAAGAUUAGAAAGAGAAAGUUCAUCCAUGGAAGAAGGAAGAAGGAAGAAGGAAGAAGAAGAAGAAGGAAGGCUUAAGAAAAAGGUAAAUCCUAAAAUUAGUUUAUGCAAUUGAUUUUAGUUUUCCAAAUCAAAGCUUGGAUUUAUGUCUCUAAAC